Molecule: ribosomal RNA, 435 nt
Filed under: Capnocytophaga sp. oral taxon H18
Lineage: Bacteria; Pseudomonadati; Bacteroidota; Flavobacteriia; Flavobacteriales; Flavobacteriaceae
Description: bacterial SSU rRNA
Rfam family: Bacterial small subunit ribosomal RNA
Source: RNAcentral
GAUGAACGCUAGCGGCAGGCCUAACACAUGCAAGUCGAGGGGUAAGCGUAGCUUGCUACGCCUAGACCGGCGCACGGGUGCGUAACGCGUGUACAAUCUACCUUUUACUGGGGAAUAGCCCGAAGAAAUUUGGAUUAAUGUCCCAUAGUAUAGAGCAGUGGCAUCACAGCACUAUUAAAGCUUCGGUGGUAAGAGAUGAGUACGCGUUCUAUUAGUUAGUUGGUGAGGUAACGGCUCACCAAGGCUAUGAUAGGUAGGGGUUCUGAGAGGGAUGUCCCCCACACUGGUACUGAGAUACGGACCAGACUCCUACGGGAGGCAGCAGUGAGGAAUAUUGGUCAAUGGUCGGAAGACUGAACCAGCCAUGCCGCGUGCAGGAUGACGGCCUUAUGGGUUGUAAACUGCUUUUGUAUGGGAAGAAUAAGGGGUACGUGU